UCCAACCACGGAAAUUCCUCACCCUCUCUUGCAGUUCCCCCGAGGGCCCCAAGAAGAGCUUUUCCAAAUACUACGGGCCCGACCCUUAAUUGCGGGCCGCUACAUUGACUGAGAUGCCGUAGAAUAAGUUCAUAUGGCUGAUGUGAUUUGGGCCCUCCUAAUGACCGACUCUUAGGAGCUGUUCUUUGGGAUUAUUGAGCUGACGUAUCUCGAGCUCACGAUGGAACUAUGCUCAACGUUCCAUCUUUAGACCGUAAUGACAAAUUACGAUGAUCCCGG
Molecule: long non-coding RNA, 279 nt
Filed under: Gossypium barbadense (sea-island cotton)
Lineage: Eukaryota; Viridiplantae; Streptophyta; Magnoliopsida; Malvales; Malvaceae
Description: long non-coding RNA (GBAR_LNC010262)
Source: RNAcentral